UAACAAGGAUUCCCCUAGUAACUGCGAGUGAAGCGGGAAAAGCUCAAAUUUAAAAUCUGGCGGUCUUUGGCCGUCCGAGUUGUAAUCUAGAGAAGUAAUGCCCGUGCUGGACCGUGUAUAAGUCUCCUGGGAUGGGGCGUCAUAGAGGGUGAGAAUCCCGUCUUUGACACGGACUACCAGUGCRUUGUGGUAUGCUCUCAAAGAGUCGAGUUGUUUGGGAAUGCAGCUCAAAAUGGGUGGUAAAUUCCAUCUAAAGCUAAAUAUUGGCGAGAGACCGAUAGCGAACAAGUACCGUGAGGGAAAGAUGAAAAGAACUUUGGAAAGAGAGUUAAACAGUACGUGAAAUUGCUGAAAGGGAAACGCUUGAAGUCAGUCGCGUUGGCCGGGAAUCAGCCCUGCUUUUGCAUGGUGUACUUUCUGGUCGACGGGUCAGCAUCAAUUUUGAUCACUGGAAAAGGCUCAAGGGAAUGUGGCAGCUUCGGCUGUGUUAUAGCCCCUGUUCACAUACAGUGGUUGGGAUUGAGGAACUCAGCACGCCGCAAGGCCGGGUUUCGACCACGUUCGUGCUUAGGAUGCUGGCAUAAUGGCUUUAAGCGACCCGUCUUGAAACACGGACCAAGGAGUCUAACAUGCCUGCGAGUAUUUGGGUGGAAAACCCAGGUGCGCAAUGAAAGUGAAAGUUGAGAUCCCUGUCGUGGGGAGCAUCGACGCCCGGACCAGAACUUUUGGGACGGAUCCGCGGUGGAGCAUGUAUGUUGGGACCCGAAAGAUGGUGAACUAUGCCUGAAUAGGGUGAAGCCAGAGGAAACUCUGGUGGAGGCUCGUAGCGAUUCUGACGUGCAAAUCGAUCGUCAAAUUUGGGUAUAGG
This 868-nucleotide ribosomal RNA is filed under the name Agaricus parasubrutilescens. RNAcentral describes it as "partial large subunit ribosomal RNA". Lineage: Eukaryota; Fungi; Basidiomycota; Agaricomycetes; Agaricales; Agaricaceae. The record is from RNAcentral.